GAGUCAGUAAAGUUGGUCAUGCGUCCGUAUGUACUGGCUUCACUGGUUCCUCCUUCUUGAAGAACUGUGAUGUCAUUUACUUGGUGUUGCAGGGAAACAGGACUGUUACUUUGAAAAAAUUAGAGUGUUUAAAGCAAGCAUUCGCUUGAAUACAUUAGCAUGGAAUAAUAGAAUAGGACUUUGGUUCUAUUUUGUUGGUUUAGGGCCGAAGUA
This 213-nucleotide ribosomal RNA is filed under the name uncultured fungus. RNAcentral describes it as "partial small subunit ribosomal RNA". The stretch from base 39 to 213 matches the Rfam family "Eukaryotic small subunit ribosomal RNA", at positions 685 to 864 of the family's 1831-position model. Lineage: Eukaryota; Fungi. The record is from RNAcentral.